This 1502-nucleotide ribosomal RNA is filed under the name uncultured Candidatus Babelota bacterium. Its description in RNAcentral is "SSU rRNA". It matches the Rfam family "Bacterial small subunit ribosomal RNA". The record is from RNAcentral.
AGAGUUUGAUCAUGGCUCAGAAUGAACGCUGGCGGCGUGCCUAACACAUGCAAGUCGAACGAGAAAGAGCUUCGGCUCAAGUACAGUGGCGAACGGGUGAGUAACACGUGGGAAUCAACCCUUUAGUGAAGGACAUCCUCGAGAAAUCGAGAGCAAUCCUGCAUAAGUCCCUUCGGGGAGAAAGAUGGCCUCUUUGCUGUCGCUAAAGGACGAGCCUGCGCGCUAUCAGCUAGUUGGUAGGGUAAUGGCCUACCAAGGCUUUGACGGCUAGCCGGCCUGAGAGGGUGUACGGCCACACUGGAACUUAGACACGGUCCAGACUCCUACGGGAGGCAGCAGUGGGGAAUAUUGCGCAAUGGGCGAAAGCCUGACGCAGCGACGCCGCGUGGAGGAUGAAGGUCUUCGGAUUGUAAACUUCUGUUAGGUGGGAAGAAAUGCACAGUUCUAAUAAAACUGUGAGAUGACGGUACCAUCAAAGAAAGCACCGGCUAACUUCGUGCCAGCAGCCGCGGUAAUACGAAGGGUGCGAGCGUUAUUCGGAGUGAUUGGGCGUAAAGGGUGCGUAGGCGGUGCGUUAAGUCAACUGUCAAAUUUCCCAGCUUAACUGGGAGCAGGCGGUUGAAACUAGCGUGCUUGAGGGUGGAAGAGAGAAGUGGAAUUCUCGGAGUAGCGGUAAAAUGCGUAGAUCUCGAGAGGAACACCGAUGGCGAAGGCAGCUUCUUGGUCCAUACCUGACGCUGAUGCACGAAAGCGUGGGGAGCAAACAGGAUUAGAUACCCUGGUAGUCCACGCUGUAAACGAUGAUCACUAGACGUUGGUUCCGCUCUGCGGGAUCAGUGUCGUAGCUAACGCGUUAAGUGAUCCGCCUGGGGAGUACGGUCGCAAGAUUAAAACUCAAAGGAAUUGACGGGGGUCCGCACAAGCGGUGGAACAUGUGGUUUAAUUCGAUACUACGCGAGGAACCUUACCUGGACUUGACAUGUACUUGACCGCCGUAGAAAUACGGUUUUUCAGGCGAAAGCUUGGACGGGUACACAGGUGCUGCAUGGCUGUCGUCAGCUCGUGUCGUGAGAUGUUGGGUUAAGUCCUUUAACGAGCGCAACCCCUGCCAUCAGUUGCUACUCCUUUGGAGGCACUCUGAUGGGACUGCCUAGGAAACUAGGAGGAAGGUGGGGAUGACGUCAAGUCCGCAUGGUCCUUAUGUCCAGGGCAACACACGUGUUACAAUGGGUAGUACAGAGCGUUGCAAGCCUGAGAAGGCAAGCUAAUCGCAGAAAGCUACUCUAAGUUCGGAUUGAGGUCUGCAAUUCGACCUCAUGAAGCUGAAAUCGCUAGUAAUCGCAUAUCAGAACGAUGCGGUGAAUACGUUCUCGGACCUUGUACACACCGCCCGUCACACCACGAAAGCUGUUUGUACCCGAAAUCAUUUUAGCUAACCUUAAACGGAGGCGGAUGCUGAAGGUAUGGAGAGUGAUUGGGGUGAAGUCGUAACAAGGUAGCCG